Molecule: non-coding RNA, 29 nt
Filed under: Mus musculus (house mouse)
Lineage: Eukaryota; Metazoa; Chordata; Mammalia; Rodentia; Muridae
Source: RNAcentral
UCCGAAUCUCAUUGUUGCCUGUUGGGAGA